GUGCGCCCUUCGGCAGCACAUAUACAAAAAUUGUAACGAUACAGAGAUUAGCAUGGCCCCUGCGCAAGGAUGACUCGCAAAUUCAUGAAGCUUUCCAUAAAUAU
This is a small nuclear RNA of Nomascus leucogenys (northern white-cheeked gibbon), 104 nucleotides long. The record is from Ensembl. NCBI's taxonomy places the organism in Eukaryota, Metazoa, Chordata, Mammalia, Primates, Hylobatidae.